CUGAGGCUGUAGGAACCUAUAUAACCUUCUAGCAAAGUUUAGAAACUAGUAGAUCAUUGUAAUAUACCUAAAUUUAUCAGAAACAUUAUUUCAAAUCUUUGUUAUUGUAUCAUAUUUUUGAAAUUAAUGUAAAGAGUGAAAGUUACUCUCAUUUUGAUAAAUUUUAGGACUAUGGUCUCAUAUUUCUAUCACUCAAUAAUGUUGUUCUUCAUGUUGAUGGAAAUAAGUAAUGAAUAUGUGAUGGUCA
This 247-nucleotide long non-coding RNA is filed under the name Elaeis guineensis (African oil palm). RNAcentral describes it as "long non-coding RNA (EGUI_LNC045678)". The record is from RNAcentral. Lineage: Eukaryota; Viridiplantae; Streptophyta; Magnoliopsida; Arecales; Arecaceae.